Callithrix jacchus (white-tufted-ear marmoset) is the source of this 62-nucleotide small nuclear RNA. Its record names the gene U7. It matches the Rfam family "U7 small nuclear RNA". From Rfam's summary of the family: Animal histone pre-mRNAs are spliced by a different mechanism than nuclear pre-mRNAs and self-splicing introns. The record is from Ensembl. Lineage: Eukaryota; Metazoa; Chordata; Mammalia; Primates; Cebidae.
AAGUGUUACAGCUCUUUUAGAAUGUGUCUAGCAGGCUUUCUGGUUGUUGCUGGAAAGCCCCC